This is a long non-coding RNA of Ornithodoros turicata, 1617 nucleotides long. RefSeq lists it as uncharacterized. The transcript has 11 exons. The record is from RefSeq and is a predicted model, not a curated record. Lineage: Eukaryota; Metazoa; Arthropoda; Arachnida; Ixodida; Argasidae.
GAGCACUCGAAAUUUGGCCUCAACAAUAAGAAAAUACCAAGAGGUGCUCUUUAUUCUGCUGGUGGGGUGCGACAAGAAGGGCACACGAAAUUUGGCCUCAACAAUAAGAAAAUACCAAGAGGAGAGAUGAGACAAGGAGGACUACCAUCCAAAUUUUGCCUCACCAAUCGGAAAACAUCAAGAGGUGGGGUGCGACAAGAAGGACAUUAGAAAUUCGGCCUCAACAAUCAGAAAACAGCAAGAGGUGGGAUGAGACAAGGAGCAGGGCAUCGAAAUUUCGCCUCAGCAAUCAGAAACGGGUUUUUGUACCUUGUUUUCAAUUUUCAGUGAAAAGAUAAUUGCUCCUAUUGAGAUGAAAUUAACCACACUUACUCAAAAAAAGUGGUCUUUAUUCUGCAGGUGGGAUGAGACAAGGAGGAGGACCUUCCAAACUUGACCUCACCAAUCGGGAAACAGCAAGAGGUGGGGUGCGACAAGAAGGACAUUAGAAAUUCGACCUCAACAAUCAGAAAACAGCAAGAGGUUAGUCUUACCUUCUUUUGAUUUGUUUUACUCAAAAAUUUCAAAGUGCUCCCAUUGAGAUGAAAUUAACCGCCAUUGCUCAGAAAAAAAAAAAGCUCUCUAUCGUGCAGGUGGGAUGAGACAAGGAGCAGGGCAUCGAAAUUUCGCCUCAGCAAUCAGAAACGGGUUUUUGUACCUUGUUUUCAAUUCAGUGAAAAGAUAAUUGCUCCUAUUGAGAUGAAAUUAACCACACAUACUCAGAAAAAUGUGCUCUUUAUUGUGCAGGUGGGGUGAGACACGAAGAAGGACCUUUGAAAGUUGGCCUUAGCAAUCAGAAAGUGUUACCUCUUGUAAAUUUUCAGUUAAAAAGUAGAAGUGCUCCUAUUGAGAUGAAAUUAACCACACUUACUAAAAAAAGUGGUCUGUAUUCUGCAGGUGGGAUGAGACAAGGAGGAGGACCUUCCAAACUUGACCUCAGCAAUCAGAAAACACCAAGAAGUGGGUCUUACCUUACUUUCAACUUUCGGUGAAAAGGUGGGAUGAGACAAGGAGGAGGACCUUCCAAACUUGACCUCAGCAAUCAGAAAACACCAAGAAGCGGGUCUUACCUUCCUUUCAACUUUCAGUGAAAAGAUAAGUGCUCCUAUUGAGAUGAAAUGAACCACACAUACUCAGAAAAUGUGCUCUUUAUUGUGCAGGUGGGAUGAGAUAAGGUGGAUCUUCGAGACUUGGCCUCGGCAAUCGCAAAACACCAGGUGGAAAAGGUGCUCAUCAUUUAGCAGGUGAGAUGAGACAAAGAGGACCACCUUCGAAAUUUUGCCUCACCAGUCGGAGAAAAGCAAGAGGUGGAACGAGACGAGUAGGACCACCGUCAAAACUUGGCUUCAGCAAUCAGAAAACACCAAGAGGUGGGUUGUGACGUGGAGAACUACCAUGGAAAUUUGGCUUCAGAAAACAAGAGUUGGGAUGGAACAGCAAGAACGACCGUGGAACUUAGGUAUCGGCGCACACUGCUACAGCGGACAGGAAAUUUGGCUACAGAAGACUCAGAAACGUUAUGCAGUUUCAACUUGUAAUUGUCAUUCUGUUGCAUUUAUGUAAUUAAAAUUUGCCUCU